This 87-nucleotide transfer RNA is filed under the name bacterium. RNAcentral's name for it is "tRNA-Leu". It matches the Rfam family "tRNA". From Rfam's summary of the family: Transfer RNA (tRNA) molecules are approximately 80 nucleotides in length. Their secondary structure includes four short double-helical elements and three loops (D, anti-codon, and T loops). Further hydrogen bonds mediate the characteristic L-shaped molecular structure. tRNAs have two regions of fundamental functional importance: the anti-codon, which is responsible for specific mRNA codon recognition, and the 3' end, to which the tRNAs corresponding amino acid is attached (by aminoacyl-tRNA synthetases). tRNAs cope with the degeneracy of the genetic code in two manners: having more than one tRNA (with a specific anti-codon) for a particular amino acid; and 'wobble' base-pairing, i.e. permitting non-standard base-pairing at the 3rd anti-codon position. RNAcentral also lists the same sequence under 2 other names. The record is from RNAcentral.
GCCGAAGUGGCGAAACUGGUAGACGCAGUUGACUCAAAAUCAUCCGCUAGAAAUAGUGUGUCGGUUCAAAUCCGACCUUCGGCACCA